GGGAAGAAGGGCACAAUGAAAACUCAAGCCCCUCAUCUGCCCGACAGGUAUUCUGAAACUUUGAAAAACCAAAUAUAGGGAAAAGGAAAGUAUAUUCCUCUUUAUGGACAGAGAAGAGUUGAAGUGGGUCCUACAUGAUCUCAAUGGUAGGAGGAUGGACCUCUAGUGCAGAAGGACAGAUUGUGGCAUUUGAGAACUUGAUGGGCACUCAGCAUCAUCCUGCCUCACCCCAUCCUUGUUUCUGAAGAAGACCCAGAGAAGGAAAGACCUGCCCAAGGUCACACAGCUCGUCCAUGGCAAGAUGGAAAAAUAGAAGAAGAAGGAGCUUACCUAAAGCCAUGGUGAAAGAUGAGGUCCUCCAAGGUAUUCCAGGCUCUGGCUCCAGACGGAGCGGCGACACAGGAAGGAGGCACAGCC
Long non-coding RNA from Bubalus bubalis (water buffalo), 417 nucleotides. RefSeq lists it as uncharacterized. Lineage: Eukaryota; Metazoa; Chordata; Mammalia; Artiodactyla; Bovidae. The transcript is spliced from 3 exons. The record is from RefSeq and is a predicted model, not a curated record.